GGGUUGCAAAAGAAGUAGGUAGCUUAACCUUCGGGAGGGCGCUUACCACUUUGUGAUUCAUGACUGGGGUGAAGUCGUAACAAGGUAACCGUAGGGGAACCUGCGGUUGGAUCACCUCCUUACCUUAAAGAA
Molecule: ribosomal RNA, 132 nt
Filed under: Escherichia coli
Lineage: Bacteria; Pseudomonadati; Pseudomonadota; Gammaproteobacteria; Enterobacterales; Enterobacteriaceae
Also listed under: 2 other names
Description: partial 16S ribosomal RNA
Rfam family: Bacterial small subunit ribosomal RNA
Source: RNAcentral